RNAcentral lists this long non-coding RNA (504 nucleotides) under Zea mays. Its description in RNAcentral is "long non-coding RNA (ZMAY_LNC005699)". The record is from RNAcentral. Lineage: Eukaryota; Viridiplantae; Streptophyta; Magnoliopsida; Poales; Poaceae.
CGGGGGGUCACGAUGUAGGCUUUGGCCUCCUUGCAGUGUCGAUUUUUUCUGUAGAAACGAGGAGUGGAAAAUUGUCAUCCUCGUGCAGCGGACAAAAACUUAAAUUUAUAUAGAAAGAACGUUUGCCAGCAACUUAGACCUAUAUUGACUUCAAAACCACUAUUAUUUACCAAAAACGAGAAAAAAAUUUACUCAAUAAAUAUAGAAACUUACAUUAAGGUGAAGAAAUGCACCCCAGUUCAGAAAUUUGCAUAGAGAAACAAAAAAGCACACAACCUCAUUCAAAAAAAAAAUUGCAUCGAGUAGAGUAGAGAUGCACAAUUGUGUGAAUCUGUACCUUUGUUGGGUCUGAUCUCUUUAGUCUCUAGUUUCCGCACUUUCGGUGAAGCCGUCUUCAGAAUUCUCUAUUUAGCAUCAUUAGCAUUAAUAUUAUAAUUUUAUGUUCCAGAAACCUUUUUGCUGCUAAUGCUUGGGGGAUCAAUUUUCUCAUAUCCACAAUUUGAU